This is a long non-coding RNA of Sapajus apella (tufted capuchin), 98 nucleotides long. RefSeq lists it as uncharacterized. The record is from RefSeq and is a predicted model, not a curated record. The transcript is spliced from 3 exons. NCBI's taxonomy places the organism in Eukaryota, Metazoa, Chordata, Mammalia, Primates, Cebidae.
AAGAGACCAAGAAGGUUACUAUCUAAUGAUAAAGGGUUUAUCUUAGCAAGAGGACAUAACAAUUUUAAAUAUAUAUGCACCCAACAAUAGAGAACCCA